Long non-coding RNA from Pygocentrus nattereri (red-bellied piranha), 312 nucleotides. RefSeq lists it as uncharacterized. Lineage: Eukaryota; Metazoa; Chordata; Actinopteri; Characiformes; Serrasalmidae. The record is from RefSeq and is a predicted model, not a curated record. The transcript has 3 exons.
CCUUUGACACCUUUCUCUUUGCUUCUAUGUCACACUUGUUGCCCAGCAACAUCCGGCUCACUCCAGCCGAGGCAUUCUGCAAGAAGAGGGACAGAAAGACGUGCUUGGUUCCCCAGUACCUCAGAAGUGAGGUGGAAUCUACAGUCACUGUGACACAACCAGUCAACUCUGGAUGCUUCCUGUGGGACGGGAAGCAAAUGAGAAAGCACUAAAGAGGAUAGGAAAGGAGGGGUCUUUGAAGAUUUGACUGAAUGCACUGAAUGCCAGAGAGGGCAGCCACCAUCUGAUGCAGAGACAGAGAGAUUACAAUAG